Molecule: transfer RNA, 71 nt
Filed under: Loxodonta africana (African savanna elephant)
Lineage: Eukaryota; Metazoa; Chordata; Mammalia; Proboscidea; Elephantidae
Rfam family: tRNA
About the family: Transfer RNA (tRNA) molecules are approximately 80 nucleotides in length. Their secondary structure includes four short double-helical elements and three loops (D, anti-codon, and T loops).
Source: Rfam by way of RNAcentral
GCAGUGGUGGUUCAUUGGUACAACUCUCACCCUCCGUGCAGAAGACCUGGGUUCAAUUCCCGGCCAAUGCA